RNAcentral lists this ribosomal RNA (936 nucleotides) under uncultured bacterium. RNAcentral describes it as "bacterial SSU rRNA". It matches the Rfam family "Bacterial small subunit ribosomal RNA", at positions 51 to 979 of the family's 1533-position model. The record is from RNAcentral.
ACACAUGCAAGUCGAGGGGCAGCAUGGUCUUAGCUUGCUAAGACUGAUGGCGACCGGCGCACGGGUGAGUAACACGUAUCCAACCUGCCGUCUACUCUUGGACAGCCUUCUGAAAGGAAGAUUAAUACAAGAUGGCAUCAUGCGUCCGCAUGUUCACAUGAUUAAAGGUAUUCCGGUAGACGAUGGGGAUGCGUUCCAUUAGAUAGUAGGCGGGGUAACGGCCCACCUAGUCUUCGAUGGAUAGGGGUUCUGAGAGGAAGGUCCCCCACAUUGGAACUGAGACACGGUCCAAACUCCUACGGGAGGCAGCAGUGAGGAAUAUUGGUCAAUGGGCGAGAGCCUGAACCAGCCAAGUAGCGUGAAGGAUGACUGCCCUAUGGGUUGUAAACUUCUUUUAUAAAGGAAUAAAGUCGGGUAUGGAUACCCGUUUGCAUGUACUUUAUGAAUAAGGAUCGGCUAACUCCGUGCCAGCAGCCGCGGUAAUACGGAGGAUCCGAGCGCUAUCCGGAUUUAUUGGGUUUAAAGGGAGCGUAGAUGGAUGUUUAAGUCAGUUGUGAAAGUUUGCGGCUCAACCGUAAAAUUGCAGUUGAUACUGGAUAUCUUGAGUGCAGUUGAGGCAGGCGGAAUUCGUGGUGUAGCGGUGAAAUGCUUAGAUAUCACGAAGAACUCCGAUUGCGAAGGCAGCCUGCUAAGCUGCAACUGACAUUGAGGCUCGAAAGUGUGGGUAUCAAACAGGAUUAGAUACCCUGGUAGUCCACACGGUAAACGAUGAAUACUCGCUGUUUGCGAUAUACUGCAAGCGGCCAAGCGAAAGCGUUAAGUAUUCCACCUGGGGAGUACGCCGGCAACGGUGAAACUCAAAGGAAUUGACGGGGGCCCGCACAAGCGGAGGAACAUGUGGUUUAAUUCGAUGAUACGCGAGGAACCUUACCCGGG